This 67-nucleotide microRNA precursor is filed under the name Bombyx mori (domestic silkworm). RNAcentral describes it as "mir-2774 microRNA precursor family". It matches the Rfam family "mir-2774 microRNA precursor family". The record is from Rfam by way of RNAcentral. Lineage: Eukaryota; Metazoa; Arthropoda; Insecta; Lepidoptera; Bombycidae.
ACAACAUUCGGACCGUCACUCUACAGAGCAAUAGCACCCGCUCGGAGGAAGAUCUUCCCUCCGUCGU